GGGAACGUAUUCACCGCAGCGUUGCUGAUCUGCGAUUACUAGCGACUCCGACUUCAUGAGGUCGAGUUGCAGACCUCAAUCCGAACUGAGACCGGCUUUUUGGGAUUCGCUCCGCCUUACGACAUCGCAGCCCUUUGUACCGGCCAUUGUAGCAUGCGUGAAGCCCAAGACAUAAGGGGCAUGAUGAUUUGACGUCAUCCCCACCUUCCUCCGAGUUGACCCCAGCAGUCUCAUAUGAGUUCCCACCAUUACGUGCUGGCAACAUACGACGAGGGUUGCGCUCGUUGCGGGACUUAACCCAACAUCUCACGACACGAGCUGACGACAACCAUGCACCACCUGUAACCGAGUGUCCAAAGAGUUCCACAUUUCUGCGGCGUUCUCGGUUAUGUCAAGCCUU
Molecule: ribosomal RNA, 400 nt
Filed under: uncultured Agromyces sp.
Lineage: Bacteria; Bacillati; Actinomycetota; Actinomycetes; Micrococcales; Microbacteriaceae
Description: partial 16S ribosomal RNA
Source: RNAcentral